Molecule: long non-coding RNA, 653 nt
Organism: Oreochromis aureus
Lineage: Eukaryota; Metazoa; Chordata; Actinopteri; Cichliformes; Cichlidae
Exons: 3
Source: RefSeq, a predicted model, not a curated record
GCUAUAUUUAUGUGGAUACACAAGGAAAUACUGUGCGAUUUAUUUUUCACAAUAUUUUGUAGUUAGCGUUCAUGUAAAGACCUAAUAUGCUAAUUUAACCAAAAUCAUGUAAAACCAGUGAAGCUUUUUACAGUUUGAGCAACAAAGAAAAAGAACAAGAGGACCUGGAGCGAGAGGAUUUUUGAUUCUUGGGAAAGGGCAAAAAGAUCUGCAAAAGUAAAAGCUUGUGUCUAACUCGAGCCAGGCCAAACCAGCCAAACUCUGACAGUUUGACCUUCCUCAGAGGUCACUCCUAUUCUUACAGCAGCCAGCCCAGCACGGCCUCCUGCUUCAGCACAGGCCAGCCCUGUAUAACUGAUCACACCGCUAUCCAGGCUCAUUCUGCAGAGAUGUGGGAAUGAAAGGUCCGAUUAGGGCCUGCUGGAAGUAUUCAGCACACAGUCGCUACCCCGCCCGGCCCAUCACUCCAGUCGGCGGCCCCCUUCUAACCAGCCCCUGCUCCCCUCCGUCCUGCGCUCCUCAGAGCUGUGAUUGGCAUGUGAAUUACAGUGUGUGGUGAUGAUAAUAAGAGUGCUAACCGGGGCCAGGCCUGCGCCUUCGAGCCAGCAGCCAAUCCCAGCUGGCACAGCCUGAAAGACAACCGCUGCCACCAU